AUUGAACGCUGGCGGCGUGCCUAACACAUGCAAGUCGAGCGGUAACAGGUGUAGCAAUACAUGCUGACGAGCGGCGGACGGGUGAGUAACGCUUGGGAAUCUGCCUAUUAGUGGGGGACAACCCGGGGAAACUCGGGCUAAUACCGCAUACGCUCUACGGAGGAAAGCCGGGGACCGCAAGGCCUGGCGCUAAUAGAUGAGCCCAAGUCGGAUUAGCUAGUUGGUAGGUAAUGGCCUACCAAGGCGACGAUCCGUAACUGGUCUGAGAGGACGACCAGUCACACCGGAACUGAGACACGGUCCGGACUCCUACGGGAGGCAGCAGUGGGGAAUAUUGGACAAUGGGUGAAAGCCUGAUCCAGCGACGCCGCGUGGGUGAAGAAGGCC
This 387-nucleotide ribosomal RNA is filed under the name uncultured bacterium. RNAcentral describes it as "bacterial SSU rRNA". It matches the Rfam family "Bacterial small subunit ribosomal RNA", at positions 29 to 416 of the family's 1533-position model. The record is from RNAcentral.